UAGAUAACUUUUAUUUUGCAUUUUAAUUUUUUUAAUAAAUUGUAAGAGACUUGUUAAAUACUUAAAUGAACAGACAUUAUAUGCUUGUUUCCCAUGUUUUCAUUAUGUUCCAAUACUUUAUAAUAUAUAUAUAUAUAUAUAUAUAUAUGUCAUUCUAUUUUGUAGUUUAUGAUGAAUUAGAUAUAUUUGAAGUAUAAAGAGACACUUAUUUACACAAAAUAUAAUAGAUUUACUUAAAUCCACAUAGUCUGCCUAGGUGCCUGCCUAGGCCCCAGCCCGCCGUCCGACCAGCGCCUAACAUCUUUUAGAACCUUGCGUAAAAUAGUUUUAUAUGUAUAUAAAAAGAUAAGAGUCAAUUAUACUCUUCUUGGAAAACCAUGAAAAUGUGAGAAGGAUUCCAAUCACUUGGAAAGGAAUUUUCGGAAAUUUUGGAUAAUGUCACACUAUUUAAGGUGGUGUAGACGCAAUUUAACUCUUCCAACCUAGUGGGAGAUGUUUCUUGAAAGUUUGUUGCCAACACCCUAAAGUAAUUGAAUAAGCAAAGAAACGACUUCAAUUUUCAAUUAGCUUGCACCAGUUCUCCAUAUGAUGAGACGGUAGUCUAGGAUAUAGACUUAAGGGUUGACUAAUUUCUUGUGACAUUUAAAUUGCAAUAGAAUUGACUGUAAACUUGUUCUUCACAUUGGAAACAUCUUCCAAUCUUUAAACGAAGGUGGGAAAAAUGAAAUGUCCUUACCUGGUGUUGCUAAAAGGUUGUAAGUUUUAGUGGGAGUACAACUAACGGAAGUGUACCACUAGACUUUAAAGGUUUUCCAAGAAAUAGGUUGUUGGGCCUAGUGGGAGUACUAAUAAGAGCAAUUCCACCCAUGGAGCCCUUCCCCCUGGCAAUUCACUAUUCAAUCCACCCUAUUAAACAGUAACUGCCAUAAAUGAAUAGUAACUACCAUUAAUAAACAGUAAUUGCCAUUUACAUCUCCACCCUUGGAAUCCUCCCCCUGGCAAUAAGCAAUUAAAAUAAUAAUUGUUUUGUUUGUUUAAAUAAUAA
Molecule: long non-coding RNA, 1045 nt
Filed under: Malus domestica (apple)
Lineage: Eukaryota; Viridiplantae; Streptophyta; Magnoliopsida; Rosales; Rosaceae
Description: long non-coding RNA (MDOM_LNC011509)
Source: RNAcentral